Arachis ipaensis is the source of this 562-nucleotide non-coding RNA. NCBI's taxonomy places the organism in Eukaryota, Viridiplantae, Streptophyta, Magnoliopsida, Fabales, Fabaceae. The record is from RefSeq and is a predicted model, not a curated record.
UGAGAAAGUUGAGUAUAAGAAACUUUCUGAUGAUGACAAAAUAAUUUUUAGAAGAUUCCAGGGUAAGACCCUCAAAAGUCUUACCGAUGAGAUGAUGGAAAUCGGCGUUGGCAACGAAGAGGAACGCCUGAUGUUCAAGAGGAUAUUCAUCCUCUAUAUACAGAUGGCAUUCCUUUUGCCAACGACGAUAAACAAAAUAUCGCCUGUGCACUUGGCCCCAAUUUUUAAGAUGGACAGCAUAUCGGAGAGAAACUGGGGGGGCAUGUUUUGACCUUCAUGGUCAAGGGCAUCACAGACUACAAGGAGAAAAAGAAGAAGGCAAUUGAUGGCUGCCUCUUCGCCCUGAUGAUAAUUUACUUUCAUCUUUCAAAAAACAAAGGCAAGAAGAGGGCUGAAAGACCACCAAAGCCCUGGAUUGCAAACUGGACUAAGGAGCAGUUGGUGGAAAGAAUGACUGCAGAAAGAGAGGAAAUUUUGGGGAUUGUGAAGAUGGUGGAGACAAGAGCAAGAUAAAAAAUGAAAAAAAAAGAAAAAAAAGAAAAAAAACAAGAAAUAAAAAAAA